CCUACGGGGGGCAGCAGUAGGGAAUCUUCCACAAUGGGCGAAAGCCUGAUGGAGCAACGCCGCGUGGGUGAAGAAGGUCUUCGGAUCGUAAAACUCUGUUGUUAGAGAAGAAAGUGCGUGAGAGUAACUGUUCACGUUUCGACGGUAUCUAACCAGAAAGCCACGGCUAACUACGUGCCAGCAGCCGCGGUAAUACGUAGGUGGCAAGCGUUAUCCGGAUUUAUUGGGCGUAAAGGGAGCGCAGGCGGUCUUUUAAGUCUGAUGUGAAAGCCUUCGGCUUAACCGGAGUAGUGCAUUGGAAACUGGGAGACUUGAGUGCAGAAGAGGAGAGUGGAACUCCAGGUGUAGCGGUGAAAUGCGUAGAUAUAUGGAAGAACACCAGUGGCGAAGGCGGCUCUCUGGUCUGUAACUGACGCUGAGGUUCGAAAGCGUGGGUAGCAAACAGGAUUAGAUACCCCUGUAGUC
This 465-nucleotide ribosomal RNA is filed under the name uncultured bacterium. RNAcentral describes it as "partial 16S ribosomal RNA". It matches the Rfam family "Bacterial small subunit ribosomal RNA", at positions 338 to 795 of the family's 1533-position model. The record is from RNAcentral.